AGAGUUUGAUCAUGGCUCAGAUUGAACGCUGGCGGCAGGCCUAACACAUGCAAGUCGAACGGUAACAGGGAGCAGCUUGCUGCUUCGCUGACGAGUGGCGGACGGGUGAGUAAAGUCUGGGAAACUGCCUGAUGGAGGGGGAUAACUACUGGAAACGGUGGCUAAUACCGCAUAAUGUCGCAAGACCAAAGUGGGGGACCUGCGGGCCUCAUGCCAUUGGAUGUGCCCAGAUGGGAUUAGCUGGUUGGUGGGGUAAAGGCUCACCAAGGCGACGAUCCCUAGCUGGUCUGAGAGGAUGACCAGCCACACUGGAACUGAGACACGGUCCAGACUCCUACGGGAGGCAGCAGUGGGGAAUAUUGCACAAUGGGCGCAAGCCUGAUGCAGCCAUGCCGCGUGUAUGAAGAAGGCCUUCGGGUUGUAAAGUACUUUCAGCGGGGAGGAAGGGGGUAGGGUUAAUAACCUUAUUCAUUGACGUUACCCGCAGAAGAAGCACCGGCUAACUCCGUGCCAGCAGCCGCGGUA
RNAcentral lists this ribosomal RNA (525 nucleotides) under uncultured bacterium. RNAcentral describes it as "bacterial SSU rRNA". It matches the Rfam family "Bacterial small subunit ribosomal RNA", at positions 8 to 522 of the family's 1533-position model. The record is from RNAcentral.